This 82-nucleotide transfer RNA is filed under the name Phycisphaerales bacterium. RNAcentral describes it as "tRNA-Leu". It matches the Rfam family "tRNA". Rfam says of the family: Transfer RNA (tRNA) molecules are approximately 80 nucleotides in length. Their secondary structure includes four short double-helical elements and three loops (D, anti-codon, and T loops). Lineage: Bacteria; Pseudomonadati; Planctomycetota; Phycisphaerae; Phycisphaerales. The record is from RNAcentral.
GCGGCUGUGGCGGAAUUGGUAGACGCGCCAGAUUUAGGAUCUGGUACCGAAAGGUGUGGAGGUUCGAAUCCUCUCGGCCGCA